AAUCGUUUUGUCGGGGGUUAGUAGGCCUUGUGUUUGCUGGCUCUGUCUGCACAUUACCCUGUUUUUUGCGCACCUAUUGUUUCCUCGGCAGGCUCGCCUGCCAGUAGGACCCCAUUUCAACCUUUUGUAAUUGUAAUCAGCGUCAGAAAAAACUUAAUAGUUA
This 163-nucleotide unclassified non-coding RNA is filed under the name uncultured Cucurbitariaceae. RNAcentral's name for it is "sequence contains ITS1". The record is from RNAcentral. Lineage: Eukaryota; Fungi; Ascomycota; Dothideomycetes; Pleosporales; Cucurbitariaceae.